This 207-nucleotide ribosomal RNA is filed under the name uncultured delta proteobacterium. RNAcentral describes it as "partial 16S ribosomal RNA". It matches the Rfam family "Bacterial small subunit ribosomal RNA", at positions 568 to 774 of the family's 1533-position model. Lineage: Bacteria; Deltaproteobacteria. The record is from RNAcentral.
CGUGUAGGCGGUCCGAUAAGUCGAAUGUGAAAGCCCGAGGCUCAACCUCGGAAGUGCAUUCGAAACUGUCGGGCUUGAGUACGGGAGAGGGAAGUGGAAUUCCUGGUGUAGAGGUGAAAUUCGUAGAUAUCAGGAGGAACACCGGUGGCGAAGGCGGCUUCCUGGACCGAUACUGACGCUGAGACGCGAAAGCGUGGGGAGCAAACA